GAGUUCUAGUGGGUGACAUCAAAGUGGUCCAAAGGCUAGAAGUAUGACACCUAGAUGACCAUAUAAGAAAAGUUCUCUGAGACCAUGUAGGUUAAUUUCCUUAUUUUAAGGAUAAAGAAACUGAGAUUUAAUGGUGAAGUGAUUUUUCCAUUGUAAAUACUAUCCCACAAAAGGAUCCAUGGACAAAGACACCCUGCCUCAGUCUACUAUAGCUUCACACUCAACAAUGAGAUGGAUACAAAUGCAACCCCAACCCUGACAUUACCUGCAAUGUACAGUGAAAGGAGGAUUGGACUAAACAUUAGAAGAACUAGAGCGUGAACCACCAAGGAGGAAAGGCUGUUGAGUGAUGUCUACAGAAGGAG
Molecule: long non-coding RNA, 365 nt
Filed under: Monodelphis domestica (gray short-tailed opossum)
Lineage: Eukaryota; Metazoa; Chordata; Mammalia; Didelphimorphia; Didelphidae
Description: lncRNA (ENSMODG00000037826.1)
Source: RNAcentral